Molecule: ribosomal RNA, 93 nt
Filed under: uncultured bacterium
Lineage: Bacteria
Description: partial 16S ribosomal RNA
Rfam family: Bacterial small subunit ribosomal RNA
Source: RNAcentral
CCGCCCGUCACACCAUGGAAGUGUAUUGCACCAGAAGCAGGUAGCCUGACCGCAAGGAGGGCGCCUACCACGGUGCGGUCCAUGACUGGGGUG